This 477-nucleotide ribosomal RNA is filed under the name uncultured bacterium. RNAcentral describes it as "partial 16S ribosomal RNA". It matches the Rfam family "Bacterial small subunit ribosomal RNA", at positions 30 to 507 of the family's 1533-position model. The record is from RNAcentral.
AUUGAACGCUGGCGGCAUGCCUUACACAUGCAAGUCGAACGGUAACAGGUUAAGCUGACGAGUGGCGAACGGGUGAGUAAUGUAUCGGAACGUGCCCAGUCGUGGGGUAUAACUGCUCGAAAGAGCAGCUAAUACCGCAUACGACCUGAGGGUGAAAGCGGGGGAUCGCAAGACCUCGCGCGAUUGGAGCGGCCGAUAUCAGAUUAGGUAGUUGGUGAGGUAAAGGCUCACCAAGCCGACGAUCUGUAGCUGGUCUGAGAGGACGACCAGCCACACUGGGACUGAGACACGGCCCAGACUCCUACGGGAGGCAGCAGUGGGGAAUUUUGGACAAUGGGCGCAAGCCUGAUCCAGCCAUGCCGCGUGCGGGAAGAAGGCCUUCGGGUUGUAAACCGCUUUUGUCAGGGAAGAAAAGGUUCUGGCUAAUACCUGGGACUCAUGACGGUACCUGAAGAAUAAGCACCGGCUAACUACGUG